Molecule: long non-coding RNA, 2319 nt
Filed under: Mus musculus (house mouse)
Lineage: Eukaryota; Metazoa; Chordata; Mammalia; Rodentia; Muridae
Description: long non-coding RNA chr2:104621423-104623742
Source: RNAcentral
AUGCCUCCCAAUUCUGAGUUGUUAUUUUUUAAAUUAGGUAUAUGGGUGUUUUGCCUGCAUAUAUAUCUACACCACAUAUGUACCUGUUGCUCAUUGAGGUCAAAGAGGGCACCAGAUUCCCUGGAGUUACAGAUGGUUAUAAGAUGCCAUGUAGGUUCUGCAAACCAAAUUCUCUGGUCCUCUGCAAGAACAAGUGUUCUUAACCUCUGCAGCUUUCUGGCCCCAAAUCAUGAAUUGUAAUUUCUAAAAAUUAGAAUAUGACAAUAGUUUUAUUUGUAUAAUUAUAAAAUUUUAUAUAGUUGAUUCAUACAGAUUUAGAAAAAAUUCUGGUUUUAUACUUAGGCAAUAAAGAGACUUUGAAAAGGUGUUUUAAAAUAACUAUAUAUGUGCACACUCAUAAGCAGAUGAUGACAAUAUCAGAGUUGUUUUCUUACUCUAUGUGGGGCUGUGGGAUCAAAUUUCGGUUGUCAUGCUCAGGGCCAGGUGACUAUUUGCUGAACCAUUUCAUGUGCUGUUCCUUUUAAUUGUCUAAUAUCCCUAACAUUUAAUUUUAGAGAACAAUUCUUUGACAUUUAGAGUUAUUUCUCUCACACUCAUUCAGUUCCCUCCCCUUAUGUCUUCUUCGCAUCUUCUCUUCAUUUCCUUACUGAAUUGCAAGGCUGUCUUAGUGUAGUGUAUCCUUCUGCUUUAGUCCCUGCAGUCUGAGAUUUUAGAUAUGUCCUGGCUUUAGAAUUAUCCUUGUAUAUAACAAAGGGUGGGAAGUAUUUUGUAAGAUUAUCCAUUAAACAUUAUACUAACCUAAAAUUCCAAAAACUGACUGACUGUGAUUUUAAGACUAAAGUCUUUACUGGAUAUAGUAAAGUUUAUCUGCAUUGAAGUAAAAAUCCUGAGACACAUUAUAAAAGUUUGUGUUCAUGUCUUGUCAAAUGUCAUGAGUUAAAUUGCUGAAUUAGAAGAUAACCAUUUUAACUUUUCCACAUCCCAUUGACAAGUUAUGACUGGUACUAUGUAUUUCCAUAAUGCCAAUAUGUAACCUAUGAGUGAAAAUUUUUCAAAAAUGUAUGGAAAGUACGGGCCUACGACGGCAGAUCUCUGAGGCCAGGCUGAUUACCUAGUUGGCUAGGACUACAGACCCCGUCUCAAACAAACCAAACCCUGCAGGAUGGCGUAGCAGACCAUGGUGCCUGCCACUUAGCUUAAUGAUUUGAGUGCAGUUUCUGGAACCCAUAAGGUGAAAGGAGAGAACCAACAUCCAUUGAGCUAUCCUCUGAGCUCAUACAAUGGCUCAAGUGCCCACACUCAUACAUUAGAUAAUUUAAAGAUCUACAUUAAUUCUAGUUUUAACUUAAACACAACACUUAAGAGUUCAAAAUCUAAAAGAGUAGCUUUUGGUUUUACAGAAAAACAUUGCCUGUGUUUAAUAUUAUUUACUUUUGUUUUUAAAUCUUAAGGCUUUUAAUCCAAACCUUCAAACAUUAAAGAUUCCAAAUUGCUGGCCUUUUUUAGUGGACUUAAUUAUACUAAAUUUGGGACUUCUAUUUUGCAGAAAAUAUACUUGGUUAAUAGAAUUUUGUUAAAUCCUAACUUUUUUUUUUUUUUUUUGGUUUUUCGAGACAGGGUUUCUCUGUGUAGCCAUGGCUGUCUGUCCUGGAACUCACUUUGUAGACCAGGCUGGCCUCGAACUCAGAAAUCCACCUACCUCUGCUUCCCUGCCUCCCAAGUGCUGGGAUUAAAGGCGUGCGCCACCAUGCCCGGCAAUUUUUUCCCUUUGGAAUUUCACUAUUUCAAGAAUGUUGCAGUAGUUUCCAAGACAGUUUGCAUAUAAUUUGAGGGGGAAUUGGUGUUAAUGAAGUAUACUACAGGAGAGUAUUAAAUAACAAGUUAGGAUACAUCUUUUUUCUGAAGUUAAGCUGCUGGGUAAAGUUUUUAACAGCAUCUUAUAGCAUUGAAGAAUUGUCCGUAACAAGGAAUUGCAAAGAGCAAAGCUUCAUUGGGAGGACACGGAAAAGGAAUUCAAAGGAGUGAUUAAUCACUGUCUUGAGAGCAUUUGCCAAACUGGGAGAAUCUGAUCUGCAAUUGGAAGUCUUCUGAUAAAGACCUGCUGCAUUGGAGAUUCAGUGGCAUGUCAUCUUUUAAGAGUUCUGUGCCAAAAAGCUACACUGAGAACAAAAGUGGUGAACCACAGUAAGUCUGUGUCAUUUACAAACUGAAAAGGAUGAAAGAAGCUUCUUUGAUCUGAAGAAUGGAAUGGGAAAAUCCUGACAUGAACAGUGAGACCAAUUAAAAAUGAUGUAGCAAUGUUAUAUGGGUUGAGUAUUG